This 255-nucleotide ribosomal RNA is filed under the name uncultured bacterium. Its description in RNAcentral is "partial 16S ribosomal RNA". It matches the Rfam family "Bacterial small subunit ribosomal RNA", at positions 524 to 776 of the family's 1533-position model. The record is from RNAcentral.
UACAGAGGGUGCAAGCGUUGUUCGGAAUUAUUGGGCGUAAAGAGCGUGUAGGCGGCCAGGUAGGUCUGCUGUGAAAACUCGAGGCUCAACCUCGAGACGUCGGCGGAAACCAUCUGGCUAGAGUCCGGAAGAGGAGAGUGGAAUUCCUGGUGGUAGCGGUGAAAUGCGCAGAGUAUCAGGAAGAACACCCGUGGCGAAGGCGGCUCUCUGGGACGGUACUGACGCUGAGACGCGAAAGCGUGGGGAGCGAACAGG